Long non-coding RNA from Xiphias gladius (swordfish), 205 nucleotides. RefSeq lists it as uncharacterized. Lineage: Eukaryota; Metazoa; Chordata; Actinopteri; Istiophoriformes; Xiphiidae. The record is from RefSeq and is a predicted model, not a curated record. The transcript has 3 exons.
GGAGUUUUUACCUCUUCAGACUUUUUCCCUUCUCCAUGCACCUUGGAGAUCUGCUGAGAUCUACUAACCCACAAAGACGAGCUCAGCAGGGAUGACUGCUGGUGCGUUCAAGUGAUUCUCGUACUGUGCGCAGUUCACAAGGGACCAUGGAGUAUGUCAUGAGCAUCAGCAUAUCCUUCUUGUCUUGACUUUGGGUCGGUUCGUC